AGCGAACGCUGGCGGCAGGCUUAACACAUGCAAGUCGAGCGGACCUUUCGGGGUCAGCGGCGGACGGGUGAGUAACGCGUGGGAACGUGCCUUCCGGUUCGGAAUAACCCUGGGAAACUAGGGCUAAUACCGGAUACGCCCUUAUGGGGAAAGGUUUACUGCCGGAAGAUCGGCCCGCGUCUGAUUAGCUAGUUGGUGGGGUAACGGCCUACCAAGGCGACGAUCAGUAGCUGGCCUGAGAGGAUGAUCAGCCACACUGGGACUGAGACACGGCCCAGACUCCUACGGGAAGCAGCAGUGGGGAAUAUUGGACAAUGGGCGCAAGCCUGAUCCAGCCAUGCCGCGUGAGUGAUGAAGGCCUUAGGGUUGUAAAGCUCUUUUAUCCGGGACGAUAAUGACGGUACCGGAGGAAUAAGCCCCGGCUAACUUCGUG
RNAcentral lists this ribosomal RNA (433 nucleotides) under uncultured bacterium. Its description in RNAcentral is "partial 16S ribosomal RNA". It matches the Rfam family "Bacterial small subunit ribosomal RNA", at positions 29 to 507 of the family's 1533-position model. The record is from RNAcentral.